This 101-nucleotide non-coding RNA is filed under the name uncultured Nitzschia. Lineage: Eukaryota; Bacillariophyta; Bacillariophyceae; Bacillariales; Bacillariaceae. The record is from RNAcentral.
UAAAAAAAAAAAAAAAAAAAAUGCAAUAUGUGCCUACGUGUGACGUUGUUGCGCGUGUCCGUCGUUGUCUUAUUUGUGGUUUCUCUUCUGUGUAUUAUUAC